RNAcentral lists this unclassified non-coding RNA (336 nucleotides) under soil metagenome. RNAcentral describes it as "partial contains 5.8S ribosomal RNA, internal transcribed spacer 2, and large subunit ribosomal RNA". The stretch from base 1 to 120 matches the Rfam family "5.8S ribosomal RNA", at positions 35 to 154 of the family's 154-position model. The record is from RNAcentral.
GAUGAAGAACGUAGCGAAAUGCGAUAAGUAAUGUGAAUUGCAGAAUUCAGUGAAUCAUCGAAUCUUUGAACGCACAUUGCGCCCGCCAGUAUUCUGGCGGGCAUGCCUGUUCGAGCGUCAUUUCAACCAUCAAGCCCCCGGCUUGUGUUGGGGACCUGCGGCUGCCGCAGGCCCUGAAAAGCAGUGGCGGGCUCGCUGUCACACCGAGCGUAGUAGCAUACAUCUCGCUCUGGGCGUGCUGCGGGUUCCGGCCGUUAAACCACCUUCAUAACCCAAGGUUGACCUCGGAUCAGGUAGGAAGACCCGCUGAACUUAAGAAUAUCAAUAAGCGGAGGA